RNAcentral lists this long non-coding RNA (3010 nucleotides) under Homo sapiens (human). Its description in RNAcentral is "HSALNT0020591". The record is from RNAcentral. Lineage: Eukaryota; Metazoa; Chordata; Mammalia; Primates; Hominidae.
GAAACGCAGUAGGAGGAGUGACGGGAACCGGGAGCCGGCUCCAUGCGCCUGGAGCGCGCGGGUCCCAGCGCCCAUCGGCCCGGGGUCCGAGGGGCCCGCUGCCCGGGCUCGCUGCGUGGUGCUACCGCCCCCGGGCCCGCUGCGCCGCGUCGGAGCCCCAGCAGACUUUGAGAGGCGUGUGCGACAGUGCGCGUCCUCUCCUGCCUCUGGAUGUUUCCUUGGAGCCUCUGGCCUUCGGGAAGACCGGUGCCAUCCAGAUUCCAACAGUGACUUUUAGCUCUGAGAAGUCCAAUACUACAGCCCUGGCUGAGUUCGGAAAAUACAUUCAUAAAGCCUGAUGGCCUGGUGUUGGGCCUGAUCACCCCAAAAUUUCAGGCACCCAACGUGGGGCUAUGAAGACCAUGGUAAAGAAAUGCUAGAGUAUAUGGAAAUGAAGGACAUAUCAUCAAAGGACACCCGAGGAUGGCUGAAAGAAGCUUGGUGGGUAAGCUGGGCACUCUGAAGAACCAAGGUAACAAUGGGACAAAAUGAAAUGCCACUGGGUUAGAGUCUCCCCGACCAAGCUGGUCUCAGCAAGUGGUCUCCAUCAUGGGGGCUCGAAUCCAGGUUGAAGGGUCACCAGAGUGAUGGUUGGAGAACAUGGAACUAGCUGGAGGACACCUGAGUACUCUUAAAGCAAACCCCGUGGCCAAAAUCAAUAACCAAUUUGGAUACCAUCAAGACACCUGAAACCUUAUCAUGAGCCAGAUGCUGAGGAAGAGAUUCCAGGAGGAUCCUGAGGACCCCCUGGUUGCAGCCACGUCGAGGCUGACACUGAGGAGGACCCCAACUGUCAUGAGCAACACCCGUCGAACACAGCCAUCCACCUGGGGACAAAUCAAGAAGCUGUCACAGAUGAUGGAAGAAAACCUGAGGAAAGCGGGACAACCAAUCACAAUGAGUAAUUUGGUGAUCUAUCACAGUGAUGAUCACCAUUGCCAUGAGUAUUCCUUCAACAAGGGCUGACACAGAGAACAAUUAUACUUAUUGGGCAUAUUUAUCAAUCUUGUCUGGCAAUAAUGCCUAGAUGAUUUCACUCUAUGGCACAGUUACACAUGCUUUCUGAUCUCAGUAUUUACCAUAAUAAAUCUGCUCCUAUAAUUGAGGCAUACCACCCUCAAAAACCUAUUUGUAAACAAAAUAGAACCUGGCCAGAAAUAAUGAACAACUUGUUUAGUAAGAUUGCAUUGCAGAACAGGCAGAGAUGCUACGCAAUGAUUCCUAUGGGAUCAUUGAUUGGUCCCCUAAGGGGAUGUUUAGCUUAAAUUGCACCUCUCAGUCUGCAUGCCAUGGCCACACUAGUUCAGAUGGUCUGAACAAAGUGGUCAGAUGGCAGAAAUGAUAAGAAGUAUGGCAAAAGUUCCUAUUGUCUGGAACCAUGGCAGUAUAGUGUCACCUCAACCUCAAAUGAUAUGGCUCAUUGUAGGAGCUAAACAUAAGGAUUUGUGGAAACUAUUAAUAGCUCUUAAUAAGAUCAAAAUUUGGGAAAGAAUAAAAAAAGCAUCUAGAAAGACACUCUACAAACUUGUCUUUGGAUAUUACAAAAUUAAAAGAACAAAUAUUUAAAGCAUCCCAGGUACACCUGACCUUAAUGACAGAAACUGGAGUGCUUGAAGGAGCUGCAGACAGAUUAGCAGCUAGUAACCCAUUAAAAUGGAUAAAAACACUUGGAAGCUCUGUGAUUUCAAUGAUGAUUGUGCUUUUAAUCGGUAUUGUUUGUCUUUGUAUAGUGUGCAGAUGUGGAUCCUGACUCCUGUGAGAAGUAGCUCACAGUGUCAAAGCUGCCUUUGCUUUUAUCGAUUUGCAAAUCAAAUAAGGGGGACAUAUUGGGAACAGCACCCCCCCCCCCAAAAUCUGGCCAUAAACUGGUCCCAAAACUGGCCAUAAACAAAAUCUCUGCAGCACUGACAUGUUCAUGAUGGUCUUAAUGCCCACGCUGGAAGGUUGUGGGUUUACCAGAAUGAGAGCAAGGAACACCUGGCCCACCCAGGGUGGAAAACCACUUAAAGGCAUUCUUAAACCACAAACAAUAGCAUGAGUGAUCUGUGCCUUAAGGCUGUGCUACUGCUGCAGAUAACUAGCCCAACCCAUCCCUUUAUUUCAGCCCAUCCCUUCGUUUCCCAUAAGGGAUACUUUUAAUUAAUCUAAUAUGUAUAGAAAGAAUGCUAAUGACUGGCUUGCUGUUAAUAAAUAACGUGGGUAAAUCUCUGUUGGAGGCUCUCAGCUCUGAAGGCUGUGAGACCCCGGAUUUCCCACUUCACACCUCUGUAUUUCUGUGUGUCUGUCUUUAAUUCCUUUAGCACCACUGGGUUAGGGUCUCCCCGACCGAGCUGGUCUUUGCACUUCUCACUUCUGGAUAUAGGCCUCCCUAGAGGGUUUUUUUUUUCUUUUUUGAUAGGAUCUUGCUCUUUCAUCCAGGCUGGUGUGCUGUAGUGUAUUCAUGGCUUGCUGCAGUCUUGAUCUCCCAGACUCAAGUAAUCCUCCCAUCUCAGCCUCCUGAAUAGCUAGGACCACAGGCCUGUGCCACCAUGUCUGGCUACUUUAAUUUUUUUUCCCUUAGAGACAGAGUCUCACUAUGUUGCCCAGGCUGGUCUCACAUUCCUGCACUCGUCAUCUUCCUGCCUUGGCCUUCCAAAGUGCUGAGAUUACAGGCAUGAAACACUACACCUGGCCAUCCCUGGAGUAUUUCUUCCUUCCUUCCUUCCUUGCUUCCUUCCUUCCUUUUUUCUUUUCCUCCCUCCCUCUCUCUUUCUUUCUUUGUUUCUUUUUCUCCCUUUCUUCCUUUCUUUCUUUCUUUUCUUUCUUUCUUCCUUCCUUUCUUUUUCUUUCUCUCUUUCUUUCUUCUUUCCUUCCUCCUUCCCUCCUUCCCUCCCCUCCCUCCCCCUCCCCUCCCUUCCUUCCUUCCUUCUUUCCUUCCUUCCUUCCUUUCUUCCUUCCUUCUUUCCUGUCUUAUUUCAAAACACAUGUCUUC